CACAAUGGUCACAUGUUCUUAGAUUUUUUGGUAUUUUGGGACAGCUAUGUCUUCCUGUCUCAAUUUUUAAAUUAUGGUUUCCCAUUCGAAGCUUCGCUGUGGCUUUACGACGAUCCCCAUUUUUAAUCAACUCCAAAAAUGAGGAACAUUUGGUAUCGUAUUUGAAAGUUGAAUAAAAAACAAGUUUUCUAUUUGACUUCAGAAGAUGAAUUUGAUGUAAUUGGGAUUGAUGUUCUAUAUUUUGCUUAAUUUC
Non-coding RNA from Paramuricea clavata, 253 nucleotides. The record is from the annotation of a GenBank genome assembly. NCBI's taxonomy places the organism in Eukaryota, Metazoa, Cnidaria, Anthozoa, Malacalcyonacea, Plexauridae.